UGGGGAAUAUUGGACAAUGGGGGCAACCCUGAUCCAGCAAUGCCGCGUGUGUGAAGAAGGUCUUCGGAUUGUAAAGCACUUUCGACGGGCACGAUGAUGACGGUACCCGUAGAAGAAGCCCCGGCUAACUUCGUGCCAGCAGCCGCGGUAAUACGAAGGGGGCUAGCGUUGCUCGGAAUGACUGGGCGUAAAGGGCGUGUAG
Molecule: ribosomal RNA, 202 nt
Filed under: uncultured bacterium
Lineage: Bacteria
Description: partial 16S ribosomal RNA
Rfam family: Bacterial small subunit ribosomal RNA
Source: RNAcentral